This is a long non-coding RNA of Parus major (Great Tit), 1427 nucleotides long. RefSeq lists it as uncharacterized. The record is from RefSeq and is a predicted model, not a curated record. NCBI's taxonomy places the organism in Eukaryota, Metazoa, Chordata, Aves, Passeriformes, Paridae. The transcript is spliced from 3 exons.
AGUCGAUUUUGCCAGAGCUGGCAAUCCCUAAUCUGCUUCCUCUCCAGCAGCUCCCAAAGGAAGGGAGAAACCCAAACACCCAUCCCAUAACAAUGCUCUUAUUUGCACUGCUGGGGCCCCAAAUUCCUUUGUUUAUUCCCCCUCUUUCUGAUGGGUUUUCCAUAACAAGGAACACUCGGGAGAUCCCUGCAGCAGGAAUCGCUCUGCCUUUUCCACACCUUUUAUUUUCUCUCCAUCUUUCUUGCUGGCUCCUGCAGGUCCUGGAAGGCCUCAGUUGGGUUCCUCCGGUGCUGGGGCACUGGUGACAGGCUUUUUGUGGCUCCUGAAGUGGGAUCCAAAGGAAAAUUGCAGCUCAUGGAAGGGAGGGCAAGAGAAGACCCUGUGGGCAAGUGCAGACUGAAAGAGGAAAAGGCAACAAAUCCAUCCUGGGCUGCUUUUAAAGCAGAUUCUUUCUGGAUUUAUCUGUGGCACACCCUGCCCAGCAGGAGGGAAGAGGAGAAACCUCAGGAUUCCAGCAGAACCAGCCAAGAUGAGCACUAAAUCCAUCCUUUGCACCCGGACACGAGGGAGAUCCAUGGCACAGCUUCCAUGGAAAAGCAAAACACACCCAGGAUCCCAACAAGGCCCUUUUGUGCUGCUCUGACCAAAACGAAGCAGCACCUUCUGGCUGUCCAGGCUGACAUCCAGGCAGCUGGAAACUCUCAGGAAAACUUGGAAGCUGCCAAGUCACCAUUUCCAGGGCAUGGAGCAGUUGGGAUUGUUUGGAUCACAAAAUCCAAUUAAAGCAGGCAGAGAGGUUGGGCUGAAGGCUGCUGCUCCCUUUCCUGCCAGCACCACCCACCUCCCUUCCCUGGAAAAGCCAAAUCCCAUUACCCCAGGUGGGAGCAGCUCCUCCCUGCUCAGGCCAGCCAACCCUGGAGGGUGGAAAAGUCCUGCAGCACCAUCCCAGCAUCUCCCUGUCCCCACAUCCCACACUCCCUGCGAGCUGGAGCUGCUCCGAGCUUCCUGUUUGGGAUUGGAAGCAAAUAUUGCCCUUGGUGUGCUCCCAGCACAGCUCCAGGAGUGCUGGGCAACCUCUGCUGGAUGUUCUUCCAAACAUCAUCCAGGGGCACAGCCAGAUCCUGCAGAAGAGGAGGAAAAAACACUGGAAUUGCAGCUCUGUGGAUACAGGAAGUCCUGGUUGGAAUUUCACUGGAAACCUCUGGGUUUGAGCAGCUCCACAGCAGCCUCUUCCCACCUGGGGGGACUCCAGCACCUGGAGGAGCUCCUGGCAGCACACUGGAAUUCCAGCAGCAUUUAUGUGGUUGUGUGAAGCUCCAUCAGGUGUUUCCCAGCUCUCUGAGCCCCCUUUUCACCCUGGGGGAAUUUUGGGAUGGGAUUUUCCUGCCCCAGCUGUGGGAAAAGGGGAAGGGUGGAGAGUAACAGGG